AUUUUUGAAUCAUACAUGUCUAUAGUUUCUCAGUGUCUUGUCUAUUCAAGAAAUAUCCGAUUUUGACAGUUUGCCUGUAUCCCAGACAGAGUAGUACCAUUUUAAAUUGGUGUUCAAUAUUUCGUUUACAAACCCGAUAAAAGCCUUAGUAGAAUUCAUGACUUCCCUUAUUUGAGACACCACUCACACUCCCCUUUGAAGAAACGACACUCCUUUUUACGUCCUGUCCUCUACGUCGUGUUCCAUUUCCAACCCGACCGCAACUCACCCUGAGUUCACUUUUGUUACCGGCGACGGACGCUCCUCUCCGGCAGAGAACCGCGCCGCAGCCCUCCCACCAAGCGACCCUGUUUCUGGGGGGCGGGGUCGACGGACGGACGGACGGACGGACGGUCAUUCAUCCGAUGUAAAUACGACAACGUUCAUGUCGCCGAGCGCGUUUUAUUUCUGAAAACCUUUGGAUAAAACCAGGCGCACCGUCAAUCUACGAGAGAUAUUUGGCUGUUCCUAUAUGGAGGAAGCUGCUGCAGCAGAGACGGGUCAGGAGUUGUUGCCGUGGCACUAGAGGUCAGAGGUCGUUGCCGCGACCACAGUGACUCUAUUGACGACAGGAUGAGGAGCAGGCAGCUACAACACACAGGGGUCGCCCUGCUUCCGCUGUCUCUCACACACACACACACACACAGCAGAAAACACACACACACACACACACACACACACAGACAGCAGAAAACAACCACACACACACACACACACAGCAGAAAACACACACACACACACACACACACACAGACAGCAGAAAACAACCACACACACACACACCAGAACAGAAGCAUCUUUAUGAUCGCAGCCUUUGAUAUUUUAAUAGCAUGCUGUCUGCGCAGUCGAACCCCUCCACAUGACAGGACUGUACUGUGUCAAGGAACAGAGGAAUGGAAACCAGAGAGAGAUGGAGAGAUGGAGUUUGGGCUAGAAGAAUGUGGUGUGAUGAACCAGGAAGAGAUGGAGUCUGGGCCAGAAGAAUGUGGUGUGAUGAACCAGGAAGAGAUGGAGUCUGGGCCAGGAGAAUGUGGUGAUGAACCAGGAAGAGAUGGAGAGAUGGAGUCAGGGCCAGAAGAAUGUGGUGAUGAACCAGGAAGAGAUGGAGAGAUGGAGUCAGGGCCAGAAGAAUGUGGUGAUGAACCAGGAAGAGAUGGAGAGAUGGAGUCUGGGCCAGGAGAAUGUGGUGAUGAACCAGGAAGAGAUGGAGAGAUGGAGUCUGGG
Oncorhynchus tshawytscha (Chinook salmon) is the source of this 1263-nucleotide long non-coding RNA. The record is from Ensembl. NCBI's taxonomy places the organism in Eukaryota, Metazoa, Chordata, Actinopteri, Salmoniformes, Salmonidae.